This 497-nucleotide ribosomal RNA is filed under the name uncultured bacterium. RNAcentral describes it as "partial 16S ribosomal RNA". It matches the Rfam family "Bacterial small subunit ribosomal RNA", at positions 28 to 507 of the family's 1533-position model. The record is from RNAcentral.
GAUGAACGCUGGCGGCGUGCCUAAUACAUGCAAGUCGAGCGAACGGACGAGAAGCUUGCUUCUCUGAUGUUAGCGGCGGACGGGUGAGUAACACGUGGAUAACCUACCUAUAAGACUGGGAUAACUUCGGGAAACUGGAGCUAAUACCGGAUGAUAUUUUGAACCGCAUGGUUCAAAAGUGAAAGACGGUCUUGCUGUCACUUAUAGAUGGAUCCGCGCUGCAUUAGCUAGUUGGUAAGGUAACGGCUUACCAAGGCAACGAUGCAUAGCCGACCUGAGAGGGUGAUCGGCCACACUGGAACUGAGACACGGUCCAGACUCCUACGGGAGGCAGCAGUAGGGAAUCUUCCGCAAUGGGCGAAAGCCUGACGGAGCAACGCCGCGUGAGUGAUGAAGGUCUUCGGAUCGUAAAACUCUGUUAUUAGGGAAGAACAUAUGUGUAAGUAACUGUGCACAUCUUGACGGUACCUAAUCAGAAAGCCACGGCUAACUACGUG